AGAGUGAACGCUGGCGGCAGGCCUAACACAUGCAAGUCGAACGGCAGCACAGAGGAGCUUGCUCCUUGGGUGGCGAGUGGCGGACGGGUGAGGAAUACAUCGGAAUCUGCCUUAUCGUGGGGGAUAACGUAGGGAAACUUACGCUAAUACCGCAUACGACCUACGGGUGAAAGCGGAGGACCUUCGGGCUUCGCGCGAUAAGAUGAGCCGAUGUCGGAUUAGCUAGUUGGUGGGUAAAGGCCCACCAAGGCUACGAUCCGUAGCUGGUCUGAGAGGAUGAUCAGCCACACUGGAACUGAGACACGGUCAGACUCCUACGGGAGCAGCAGGUGGGAAUAGUUGGACAAGUGGGCGACAAGCCUGAUCCAGUCCAUGGCCGCGUGUGUAGAAGAACGGUCCGUUGGGUAGUAAAGUCUACGUUUCGGAACCGAAAGAAACG
This 439-nucleotide ribosomal RNA is filed under the name uncultured soil bacterium. RNAcentral's name for it is "bacterial SSU rRNA". It matches the Rfam family "Bacterial small subunit ribosomal RNA", at positions 26 to 452 of the family's 1533-position model. The record is from RNAcentral.